UGAGAUUUUUUCAAUCUAUAUUUUUUCUCUCUGUGUUUGACUUUAAAAUGCGAGCAUCAUUACAGUUGACUGACAGCAGGCAAGUCAUUCGGGAUGUCUAUACUAUAUAUAGGAGACGUGUUUAGAUAAUUGCAGGGAGUUCCUCAUCGAUUUGGCAGUCACAUAAUUAUGAUGGUGGAAUUUUUUAUGCAAAUGCCAGGACACGGAUCGUUGGGCUCAACUUCCGCUUAGCAUUUUUCGCCAGCCAACUUCUAGGUGCUGAAAUACUGCAGACGCUGAUUGCUCAGCUCGAAAAUUGUUGUCGUCCGCCUUUUUGUG
This is a long non-coding RNA of Drosophila albomicans, 318 nucleotides long. RefSeq lists it as uncharacterized. The transcript has 3 exons. Lineage: Eukaryota; Metazoa; Arthropoda; Insecta; Diptera; Drosophilidae. The record is from RefSeq and is a predicted model, not a curated record.